RNAcentral lists this ribosomal RNA (405 nucleotides) under uncultured bacterium. RNAcentral's name for it is "partial 16S ribosomal RNA". It matches the Rfam family "Bacterial small subunit ribosomal RNA", at positions 30 to 526 of the family's 1533-position model. The record is from RNAcentral.
AUUGAACGCUAGCGGGAUGCUUUACACAUGCAAGUCGAACGAGUGGCGGACGGGUGAGUAAUAUAUGGGAAAGUGCCCAGUGGCGGGGGAUAACUACUCGAAAGGGUGGCUAAUACCGCAUACUAUUGGAUGUGCCGAUAUGGGAUUAGCUAGUUGGUGGGGUAAAGGCUCACCAAGGCAACGAUCCCUAGCUGGUCUGAGAGGACGACCAGCCACACUGGGACUGAGACACGGCCCAGACUCCUACGGGAGGCAGCAGUGGGGAAUUUUGCACAAUGGGGGAAACCCUGAUCCAGCCAUCCCGCGUGUAUGAGAAGGCCUUCGGGUUGUAAAGUACUUUUGGCAGAGAAGCGGUACCUGCAGAAUAAGCACCGGCUAACUACGUGCCAGCAGCCGCGGUAAUAC